This 415-nucleotide ribosomal RNA is filed under the name Ixodes luciae. Its description in RNAcentral is "partial 16S ribosomal RNA". Lineage: Eukaryota; Metazoa; Arthropoda; Arachnida; Ixodida; Ixodidae. The record is from RNAcentral.
UUGCUGUGGUAUUUUGACUAUACGAAGGUAUUGAAAUAAGGUUUUAAAUGAGCGCUAAGAGAAUGGUUUAACGAUUAUAAACUUUCUUUAAUUAAAAAAGUUGAAUUUAAUUUUUUUGUGCAGAAGCAAACAUUGGUUUUAGGGACAAGAAGACCCUAUGAAUUUUAAAUUUAAUUUAUUUAUUUUUAAUAUAAGUUAAAUUUGGUUGGGGCGAUGGAAAAAGAAUAAAUAUCUUUAUUUUAUAAAAUAAAAAGUUCCGUUAUUAACGAUUUAAUGAGAAAAAUACUCUAGGGGUAACAGCGUAAUAAUUUUGGAAAGUUCUUAUUGAUAAAAUAGUUUGCGACCUCGAUGUUGGAUUAGGAUACUUUUUUGGCGAAGAAGUUAAAAAAAGAAGUUUGUUCAACUUUUAAAUUCC